RNAcentral lists this ribosomal RNA (301 nucleotides) under uncultured bacterium. RNAcentral's name for it is "partial 16S ribosomal RNA". It matches the Rfam family "Bacterial small subunit ribosomal RNA", at positions 509 to 807 of the family's 1533-position model. The record is from RNAcentral.
CAGUAGCCACGGUAAUACGUAGGUGGCAAGCGUUGUCCGGAAUUAUUGGGCGUAAAGGGCUCGCAGGCGGUUUCUUAAGUCUGAUGUGAAAGCCCCCGGCUCAACCGGGGAGGGUCAUUGGAAACUGGGAAACUUGAGUGCAGAAGAGGAGAGUGGAAUUCCACGUGUAGCGGUGAAAUGCGUAGAGAUGUGGAGGAACACCAGUGGCGAAGGCGACUCUCUGGUCUGUAACUGACGCUGAGGAGCGAAAGCGUGGGGCGCGAACAGGAUUAGAUACCCCUGUAGUCCCUGUCUCUUAUAC